CCCGGUUGAUCCUGCCGGAGAUCACCGCUAUCAGGAUUCGAUUUAAACAUGCUAGGUGAAUGCGGGCUUGUCCUGCAUGCCGAACAGCUCAGUAACACGUAGUUAAUCUGCCCUCCGGUCGGGAAUAACCCCGGGAAACUGGGAGUAAUGUCCGAUAGGUUUUGGAUACUGGAAUGUUCCAAAGCCCAAAGUUCCGGCGCCUGAGGAUGAGACUGCGGUGGAUUAGGCUGUUGUUGGUGUAAUGGACCAACAAACCUAUAAUCCAUACGGGCGUUGAGAGACGUAACCCGGAGAUGUGUUCUGAGACAAGAAUACAGGCCCUACGGGGCGCAGCAGUUGCGAAACCUUUACAAUGUCUUCACGGACGAUAGGGGAAUCCUGAGUGCUCUAGCAAUGCUAGAGCUUUUAUCUACUUCAAAAGGGUAGGUGAAUAAACAGUGGGCAAGACGGGUGCCAGCCGCCACGGUAAUACCCGCACUGCAAGUGGUGAUCGCGUUUAUUGGGUCUAAAGCGUUCGUAGCCGGUUUAGUAAAUUCCUGGUGAAAUCCUGUGUAAAACAUAAGGCGUGCCAAGAACACUACUAUGCUAGGGACCGGGAAAAGCUGAGGGUACUCAAGGGGUAGGGGUUAAAUACUGAAACAAGGAUCUUGUUUUUUUGACCUUUUCGGUUUAACAAUCCUGUAAUCCUUUGAGGACCACCUGUGGCGAAGGCGCUCAGCUGGAACGGCUCCGACGGUGAGGGACGAAAGCCUGGGGAGCGAACGGGAUUAGAUACCCCGGUAGUCCAGGCCGUAAACGAUGCCCGUUUGGUGUAUCAUUUCCUUCGAGGAGAUGAUGUGCCGUAGCGUAGGCGUUAAACGGGCCACCUGGGGAGUACGGUCGCAAGACUGAAUUUUAGGCAAAUUUAUAAAGUUUGCUAAAACAGGAAACUUAAGGGAAUUGGCGGGGGAGCACCUCAAGGGGUGGAGGCUGCGGUUUAAUUGGAUUCAACGCCAGACAUCUUACCAGAGACGACAGCAGGAUGACGGUCACCCUGAAGGGGUUACCUGACGAGCUGAGAGGAGUUGCAUGGCCAUCGUCAGCUCGUGCCGUGAGGCGUGCAGUUAAGUCUGUUAACGAGCGAGACCCAAAUCUUUAGUUGCUACGUUAUUCUUCGGAGUAGCGGCACUCUAGAGAGACCGCUGGUGAUAAAUCAGAGGAAGGAUUGGGCGACGGUAGGUCCGUAUGGCCCGAAUUCUCUGGGCUACACGCGGCCUACAAUGGUCAGGACAAUAGGUUGCAACACCGAAAGGUGGAGCUAAUCCCGGAAACCUGAUCUUAGUUCGGAUCGAGGGUUGAAACUCACCCUCGUGAAGCCGGAAUCCCUAGUAAGCGAAAGUCACUAUCUUUCGCUGAAUACGACCCUGCUCCUUGCACACACCGCCCGU
RNAcentral lists this ribosomal RNA (1427 nucleotides) under uncultured archaeon. Its description in RNAcentral is "bacterial SSU rRNA". It matches the Rfam family "Archaeal small subunit ribosomal RNA". The record is from RNAcentral.